RNAcentral lists this long non-coding RNA (447 nucleotides) under Eucalyptus grandis. RNAcentral describes it as "long non-coding RNA (EGRA_LNC005866)". The record is from RNAcentral. Lineage: Eukaryota; Viridiplantae; Streptophyta; Magnoliopsida; Myrtales; Myrtaceae.
AUGCCCUUUUGGUACCAUUCUUUUUAUUUUCAAAAGUGUUUGGCAAUUGAAUUGAUUUUAAACUAACUUCCUAACAUGUGAGGUGAUCAUACAUGUGCGCAUACCACCAAUUUAACACUCAAGAAAGCAAUUAAAUAUUGCAAAACAUACCUAAGAGCAACGAAAGCAUCUGCAUUGUUAAAUCAGAAUUCACAUCAGCAGCCCUAGAUAUGAUUUCUAAUUAACACACAAUUUCAAUUUUUGUUUUCACUUUAUUUAAUGAAAAUCAUGACUUAUGUAAUGCAUGUUGAUGAUCUAAUAUGACAUGGCAGCAUGACCUAAACUAUAUGACAUGAAGAAAUGCAAUAAUUAAGUGCAAUCUAAAUGACCUAAUUCUGAUGACAUGCAAUGCGAUGCAAUGACAUGCAAAAUUAUUUAAACUAAAAUGACAUGCAGCAUAUAAUUUAG